CGGCAACAGCUCAAAUUUGAAAUCUGGCCCUCGGGUCCGAGUUGUAAUUUGCAGAGGAUGCUUUUGGCGCGGUGCCUUCCGAGUUCCCUGGAACGGGACGCCAUAGAGGGUGAGAGCCCCGUCUGGUCGGACACCAAGCCUCUGUAAAGCUCCUUCGAC
This 159-nucleotide ribosomal RNA is filed under the name Thelonectria veuillotiana. RNAcentral describes it as "partial large subunit ribosomal RNA". It matches the Rfam family "Eukaryotic large subunit ribosomal RNA", at positions 99 to 261 of the family's 3401-position model. The record is from RNAcentral. Lineage: Eukaryota; Fungi; Ascomycota; Sordariomycetes; Hypocreales; Nectriaceae.